UGGGGAAUAUUGGACAAUGGGCGCAAGCCUGAUCCAGCCAUGCCGCGUGAGUGAUGAAGGCCCUAGGGUUGUAAAGCUCUUUCACCGGUGAAGAUAAUGACGGUAACCGGAGAAGAAGCCCCGGCUAACUUCGUGCCAGCAGCCGCGGUAAUACGAAGGGGGCUAGCGUUGUUCGGAUUUACUGGGCGUAAAGCGCACGUAGGCGGACUAUUAAGUCAGGGGUGAAAUCCCGGGGCUCAACCCCGGAACUGCCUUUGAUACUGGUAGUCUUGAGUUCGAGAGAGGUGGGUGGAAUGCCGAGUGUAGAGGUGAAAUUCGUAGAUAUUCGGAGGAGCACCAGUGGCGAAGGCGGCUCACUGGCUCGAUACUGACGCUGAGGUGCGAAAGCGUGGGGAGCAAACAGG
This 404-nucleotide ribosomal RNA is filed under the name Actinomycetes bacterium. RNAcentral describes it as "Actinobacteria bacterium partial 16S ribosomal RNA". It matches the Rfam family "Bacterial small subunit ribosomal RNA", at positions 355 to 776 of the family's 1533-position model. The record is from RNAcentral. Lineage: Bacteria; Bacillati; Actinomycetota; Actinomycetes.